RNAcentral lists this ribosomal RNA (434 nucleotides) under uncultured Coprococcus sp. RNAcentral describes it as "partial 16S ribosomal RNA". It matches the Rfam family "Bacterial small subunit ribosomal RNA", at positions 341 to 792 of the family's 1533-position model. The record is from RNAcentral. Lineage: Bacteria; Bacillati; Bacillota; Clostridia; Lachnospirales; Lachnospiraceae.
ACGGGAGGCAGCAGUGGGGAAUAUUGCUCAAUGGGGGAAACCCUGAUGCAGCGACGCCGCGUGAGUGAAGAAGUAUUUCGGUAUGUAAAGCUCUAUCAGCAGGGAAGAUAAUGACGGUACCUGACUAAGAAGCACCGGCUAAAUACGUGCCAGCAGCCGCGGUAAUACGUAUGGUGCAAGCGUUAUCCGGAUUUACUGGGUGUAAAGGGUGCGUAGGCGGCAAGGCAAGUCUGAAGUGAAAGCUCGGGGCUCAACCCCGGAACUGCUUUGGAAACUGUUUAGCUAGAGUACAGGAGAGGUAAGUGGAAUUCCUAGUGUAGCGGUGAAAUGCGUAGAUAUUAGGAGGAACACCAGUGGCGAAGGCGACUUACUGGACUGACACUGACGCUGAGGCACGAAAGCGUGGGGAGCAAACAGGAUUAGAUACCCUGGUA